This 511-nucleotide ribosomal RNA is filed under the name uncultured bacterium. RNAcentral's name for it is "bacterial SSU rRNA". It matches the Rfam family "Bacterial small subunit ribosomal RNA", at positions 25 to 518 of the family's 1533-position model. The record is from RNAcentral.
CAGAUUGAACGCUGGCGGCGUGCUUAACACAUGCAAGUCGCGCGUGAAAGGACUUCGGUCCGAGUAAAGCGGCGCACGGGUGAGUAACGCGUGGAUGAUCUACCCAUGAGUUAGGAAUAACGGCUGGAAACGGUCGCUAAUACCAAAUACGCUCCGAUUUCAACUUCGGGGGGAAAGGUGGCCUCUGCUUGCAAGCUACUGCUCAUGGAUGAGUCCGCGUCCCAUUAGCUAGUUGGUGGGGUAACGGCCCACCAAGGCGACGAUGGGUAGCCGGUCUGAGAGGAUGACCGGCCACACUGGGACUGGAACACGGCCCAGACUCCUACGGGAGGCAGCAGUGGGGAAUAUUGCGCAAUGGGCGAAAGCCUGACGCAGCGACGCCGCGUGAGGGAUGAAAGGGUCCUCGGAUCGUAAACCUCUGUCAGGAGGGAAGAACCGCCACGGUGCUAAUCAGCCGUGGUCUGACGGUACCUCCAAAGGAAGCACCGGCUAACUCCGUGCCAGCAGCUGC